AAUAGACAUAGGUGUAUGUAGUAGGGGAGAAAAAAUAAAAACGGUUUUAAAAUAAAGCUUAUACGAUUACGUAAUUAUUAAAAAAACACACACACACAGGCACAAAAAAACAAAUUCACUUAAAAUCCCCGGAGAAAUUGCUGGUUCAUGAUAAAAAAAAAUAAAAAAAAUCCACUCUGUAUGGAAACAGUACGGAUACGGUAUUAUUGUUUGCGCGCUCUCCGCCGCACUAUCGAAACUCUAACAGUUGUGUAUACGGGCGAAUGUAAGUUCCUACACGAGACUUAGCGGAUGAAAGAAAAAUGUGCGUAUGUCAGUUCCUACACGAAUAUAAAAAUGAGCUGUGUAAGUCUGUUCCUGCAUGGUAAAAAAAAGCUGCGUAUGUUCGUUUCUGCAUGGCGGAAAAAUUAUAUAAUAUGUAAGUUUUUAAACGGUAAAAAAAAAAAAAAGUUCAAAUGUCAGUAAGUGACGUAUACUUACGCUACACACUAUG
Non-coding RNA from Cinara cedri, 493 nucleotides. The record is from the annotation of a GenBank genome assembly. NCBI's taxonomy places the organism in Eukaryota, Metazoa, Arthropoda, Insecta, Hemiptera, Aphididae.